Molecule: ribosomal RNA, 799 nt
Filed under: Harringtonia lauricola
Lineage: Eukaryota; Fungi; Ascomycota; Sordariomycetes; Ophiostomatales; Ophiostomataceae
Description: Raffaelea lauricola partial large subunit ribosomal RNA
Rfam family: Eukaryotic large subunit ribosomal RNA
Source: RNAcentral
CCCCAGUAACGGCGAGUGAAGCGGCAACAGCUCAAAUUUGAAAUCUGGCCCCCCGCGGGCCCGAGUUGUACUUUGGAGAGGACGCUUCUGGCGCGGCGCCGUCCGAGUUCCCUGGAACGGGACGCCGGAGAGGGUGAGAGCCCCGUACGGGCGGCCGCCUAGCCUCUGCGAAGCUCCUUCGACGAGUCGAGUAGUUUGGGAAUGCUGCUCAAAAUGGGAGGUAAAUUUCUUCUAAAGCUAAAUACCGGCCAGAGACCGAUAGCGCACAAGUAGAGUGAUCGAAAGAUGAAAAGCACUUUGAAAAGAGGGUCAAACAGUACGUGAAAUUGUUGAAAGGGAAGCGCCUGUGGCCAGACUUGCGCCCCGCGGACCACCCGGCGCCUCGCGCGCCGGGGCACGCCAGCGGGGCGCAGGCCAGCAUCGGCUCUCUCGGGGGGACAAAGGCCGCGGGAACGUAGCGCCCUCGCGGCGUAUUAUAGCCCGCGGCGCCAUGCCCCCGGGGGGGCCGAGGACCGCGCUCCGGCAAGGAUGCUGGCGUAAUGGCCACCGGCGACCCGUCUUGAAACACGGACCAAGGAGUCAAGCAUUGGGGCGAGUGUCUGGGUGGCAAGCCCGCACGCGGAAUGAAAGUGAACGCAGGUGGGAGCUUCGGCGCACCACCGACCGAUCCUGAUGUCCUCGGAUGGAUUUGAGUAGGAGCCCCGCCGCUUGGACCCGAAAGAUGGUGAACUAUGCCUGUAUAGGGUGAAGCCAGAGGAAACUCUGGUGGAGGCCCGCAGCGGUUCUGACGUGCAAAUCG